CCUACGGGAGGCAGCAGUGGGGAAUCUUGCACAAUGGAGGAAACUCUGAUGCAGCGAUGCCGCGUGAGUGAAGAAGGCCUUUGGGUUGUAAAGCUCUUUCGUCGGGGAAGAAAAUGACUGUACCCGAAUAAGAAGGUCCGGCUAACUUCGUGCCAGCAGCCGCGGUAAUA
RNAcentral lists this ribosomal RNA (170 nucleotides) under uncultured Pseudomonadota bacterium. RNAcentral's name for it is "uncultured proteobacterium partial 16S ribosomal RNA". It matches the Rfam family "Bacterial small subunit ribosomal RNA", at positions 338 to 525 of the family's 1533-position model. Lineage: Bacteria; Pseudomonadati; Pseudomonadota. The record is from RNAcentral.